Cicer arietinum (chickpea) is the source of this 2453-nucleotide non-coding RNA. NCBI's taxonomy places the organism in Eukaryota, Viridiplantae, Streptophyta, Magnoliopsida, Fabales, Fabaceae. The record is from RefSeq and is a predicted model, not a curated record.
AAUGAAAGACACAUUGAGAAAGAAAGAACAUUGUUUGUUGUUACUCACUCUCUCUUCAAAGCGAGUGGCAUAAAAAUUGUUUGUUGUUUUGUUUUUGUCAUCUCUUAGCUUACCUUAACCUCUCACUUUGGGAACUGCUUCCUUCCCACUUUCACAGAUUUUGGAUUCUUUCCUUCUAACCACAAAGAUAAGAAAUUUGGCAAAUUUGGAUCCAUCCAUCCAUCACUCACAAACACAAACAUAAAGCCCAACCGAAUAAGUUUCACUUUUCACUUUUCUCUUUCAACUCAACUUCACCACACACACCUUCUCUUCUUCUUCUUCUUCUGCUUCUUCAUUCAAAGUUUAAAACUUUAACUUUAUCAGAAGAAAAAUAUCCCAAAUGGUCAAAUACCCAUUAAUCAUUUAGGUGAGUUCAUUUCAAGAAAUUUUCUCAAAAGCCCAAAAAAGAAAUAAGAAAAAAAUUGUUUUUUUUUUUAAAUCUUUUUUAACACUUCCAUUACUAUUUUUGUGUUUUUUUUUUUCUUCAUUUGAAGUGAUAUAUUUGAACCAAUAGAUAUGUUAGAUUGAAACAUCUUAGUACUGUACUUUGUUUUUAUUUAUCUGAAAUUUUAAGGUUAUUAAAAAAGCUUAGAUUUUCAUAGUACUUUUGUUGUUGUAACAUAAGAAGAUGUGACUUAGGAUCUUGUUUGGUUGGAAGAGAAUAUUUUUAAUUUUUUGUUGUGAUUUUUGUUAGAUGUCAGAAACUAUGUAUCCUAAAUUGUUAUUUGAACAUACCCAUUUGAGAAUGGCUUUGAUUAAUCAUCAAAUCCAUCAAAAAGAUGCAAACUUUAUGAAUUAUCCACCACCAACACUACCAUUAUCACCACAAGUUUUGUCUUCAUCUUCAUCAAGUUCUUCAACAACAACAACAACAACAACAUCUUCAUCUUCUAGUACUAGAAUUAGUCCUGCUGUUCUUUUCAUCAUAGUAGUUCUUGCAGUUCUUUUUUUCAUAUCUGGUUUACUUCACUUGCUUGUUAGAUUUCUCAUAAAGAAUCCAUCUUCUUCAGCUUCUAAUCAAUCUAAUAGACACCCUAAUGAAAUUUCAACUUCUGAUGCACUUCAAAGACAGCUUCAACAGCUUUUCCAUCUUCAUGAUUCUGGUUUGGAUCAAGCUUUUAUUGAUGCACUUCCUGUUUUUCAUUUUAAGGAGAUUGUUGGUUUGAAAAAAGACCCUUUUGAUUGUGCUGUUUGUUUGUGUGAAUUUUCUGAGAAAGAUAAGCUUAGAUUGUUACCUAUGUGUAGUCAUGCUUUUCAUAUUAGUUGUAUAGAUACUUGGCUACUUUCAAACUCAACAUGUCCUCUUUGUAGAGGAACACUUCACACUCCUGGAUUUUCUAUUGAAAAUCCAAUUUUCGAUUUCGAUGAUAUGAGGGAAGAUGAUGGUUGUCCUUGUAAUGGAGAAAGUGGAUUUGUUAAUAGACAAAAAGAAAUUGUUGUUGAAGAAGUUGUAGAUAAAGGGGUUUUUCCUGUUCGACUCGGUAAAUUCAAGAAGAUGAAUGCGGAAGCUGGUAGAGAGAACGAAGAAGUAGGUGAAACGAGUAGUAGUAAUUUGGAUGCUAGAAGAUGUUUUUCGAUGGGAAGUUACCAAUACGAGGUCGGAAAUUCGGAUUUAAGGGUUGCUUUAAACCAUGAAAGUAAAAAUCUUCAUCAUCAUCAUGAUGCAAGGCUUAACAAAGGAAUAGGAAAUGGUGAGAGUAUUUGUGUGGAGGAUGAUUUGGAAGCAAAGAAGAUUAGUAAUGUUAGUAAAGGUGAAAGUUUUUCGAUUUCGAAGAUUUGGUUGUGGCCAAGGAAAGGAAAGUUUUCUUCUUCUAGUUCUUUAGAAGCUCAUCAUAAUGGCAUGCCAUUGCCAUCUUAUCUUAACAAAGAUUUGCAUCAUCAUGGGAUGAGGGAAACAGAUGGUGUAUGAAGUAGUGAAAGGUUUGGAUUAGCGGUAAGUUUGAGUAAGUUUGACAGGAUCAUGGUGAACCAUCGUAAUUUUUGGUUAAAGUAACACUUUGGAACUUCAACAAAAUUGUGGUAUCACUUAAUGUGAUUUAGUCGAACUCGCAGUUCAUCCAAACUUACACUCAUAAUGAUUACAAUGGAGAAAUCCAAGGCAGUUGAUUGAAUUUGGGUUUGGAGCCUAGACUGUUUCAAAGUUAGACUUGUCUCUUUCUAUGUGGUCAAUGUUAUCUUGCCAUCAAUAUGUCUAGUUGUCUACUUCUUGAUCAUGUUUUUGGACAGUUGGACAGUGGUGGGUGGGAUCCACAAAAGCUGGUGUGAUAGAAGAAUCUAGUUAUCUUUUUUGAUGAAUUUUUAGUCAAAAAUUUGUUGUGAAUGCUGUUUUUUGGGGCCACUUUAGGUUUCCUAUCUGUCCAUGUUGAAAUUAAAAGACAUAUUUUCUUAAUGUCAAUCAUAAUUAUAUUUAA